CAUAGAUCUAGAAUUAAUUGGGAUUGAUCGGUCCAAAAUCACGCAGUUGGUACAUAAUGCCGGUCAGCAUCACGUGAAAUUUAAACAGGAACAGUAUCAAAGAAGAGAUGACAGCCUCAAAGUGAGCCACUAGCAAUGAAGAUUGUUAGAUAGAAGUACUUGUAGUCAUUUUGUAGGAAUUCUUAGAACUCACGGUCUUCUCUCUAUCUAGUAUUUUUGAUGAUUUUCUUAAAAC
This is a non-coding RNA of Pelobates cultripes (western spadefoot toad), 235 nucleotides long. The record is from the annotation of a GenBank genome assembly. NCBI's taxonomy places the organism in Eukaryota, Metazoa, Chordata, Amphibia, Anura, Pelobatidae.